This 532-nucleotide ribosomal RNA is filed under the name uncultured bacterium. RNAcentral describes it as "bacterial LSU rRNA". It matches the Rfam family "Bacterial large subunit ribosomal RNA", at positions 202 to 770 of the family's 2925-position model. The record is from RNAcentral.
CUCAGUACCCGGAGGAAAGGAAAUCAACCGAUACUCCGCUAGUAGUGGCGAGCGAACGCGGACCAGCCGAGCCUCGAGAGGCAGCAGAACCAUCUGGAAUGAUGGGCGAUAUGGGUGACAGCCCCGUAUGCGACACCUCGAGAGGACACAUCAAGUAGGGCGGGACACGUGAAAUCCUGUCUGAAGAUCGGGGGACCACCCUCGAAGGCUAAGUACUCCUUGCUGACCGAUAGCGAACAAGUACCGUGAGGGAAAGGUGAAAAGCACCCCGACAAGGGGAGUGAAACAGUUCCUGAAACCGGACGCCUACAAACAGUCGGAGCCUGCUGAGGACCUUCGGGUCAUCGGACGGGUGACGGCGUACCUUUUGUAUAAUGGGUCAACGACUUGGUCUCACGAGCAAGCUUAAGCCGGUAGGCGUAGGCGCAGCGAAAGCGAGUCUGAAUAGGGGCGCUUGAGUUCGUGGGAUCAGACCCGAAACCGAGGUGAGUCUAGGCAUGUCCAGGAUGAAGGUGCGGUAACACGCACUGGG